AAAUUCGGAUUUUUUUAAAUUAGAUUAGUUAAGGAGUUUAAUAUAAUUUGUAAUACUUAAUACAUAAUAAUUUGUAAUACUUUGGUUUUUAAAAACUGUUUUUAAAACUUUGUUAUUUUUCAGGUUAUCUGUCAGGUAGUAUUAAUAAUAGUUCCAUUUAACCAACUGGAAAGGCGAAGGUGUCACGCCAUACAUCCUUACAACUUUCGUAUAUUCCCUGAGUAUCCCUGCCUGCAGCUUUCUGCGAGUAUAUUCUUAGGUUCGAUAUUUCGAGCGGUGUACGAUAUUGGAGUCAUUUGGAAGAUAAAGCCAAAUUAGCCUCUAAAAUGUUCGAAGUCCUCAAUUUCACGCCUGGACUUGCGCUUUACAAAGCACAAGUCCAGCUUCACGUGGAGUACGUGAGGCCCAUCACUGGGCCAAGGCUACCAGGUAGUAGGUACCAUUUGACCCCAUACAAAGACAGACCACUCAGAUUGUCGAUAAUCUCAUUCUCACGGAUCGCUUGAAACCUCUUAACAACAGGUGGGCCAUGAGCUUGGCCCCCCAUCUAAGCAAUAAAAAAAAACUUCCCGCCACCGGAGCAGAUUUCAUCCAUACAAUCUGGAACCGCUGUGUUCAUCGAUAGUGCGUUUCCAGAGAUCAUUCAGCUGUGUACCACCUGGCUCUAGAAUGAACUCUCCUCCACGGUGUUUCUCGAGCGCUACGAUAUGUCCUUCAUCAAACGCGGCCUGGAGGACCUACACCUACCUAUUCAAUGAUUGAUAGCGACUUGGCUAUGCCCCUGGCAUUGCUGACGUUCAUGAGCGACGGUAACCACUUAUCAUCAGGUGAGCUAUAUGCUCGUUGGCCUACUAAGGCAAUAAAAGAAUAAAAACAUGUAAAGUAAUGACGUAUUUUAUUUUAUUUCGUUUCAUUUUACAUUUUAAAUACUUAUCAGCCUUUAUUUCAAUUUUUGUUUAAUGGGCUAUACAUUUGCGUAUCCAGUGAACGAAUUAAAAAAACGCAAACAAACUGUAAAAUGUGCAAAACAAAACAAUAACAAAGAGUAAAGCAAAUAUAUUAAGUGUAUAAUCUAUGAGUAAAGCUGAUAAAGUAUUAAAUGAAUAAACGGCAUUUUGUUAAAGUUCAAUAAAUCCUAUGUGGAUAACUAAUAAAUAAACUUUGACUAAAAAUUUAUGAUUUGUACUUUUGUACAUUUAAACAUUUCAAUGGAGUAUAAAACUAUGCUACGUUUGCAGAAAUGUCUGUACUUUAAAAUAAAUCUAUUUGUUCUCUGGUGUUUUGUGACAGGGUUUUUCUUGUUUAUGAAGUUUGAUCAACUUAGCCACCUGACAAAAUACUUAUCAGCUACAGUUUUUUUGCUACUAUCUGGAAUAGAAAUUGUACGAUUGUACCUUGGUAGAUAUGGAAAUUUGUCUUGCAGAGUUCCAGAAUUAGCUGUAUUCCUCAUGUUGACAAUUUUAAUGCAAAUGCCACUAGUUAGCUUCUUCCUUUUUCAUCCAUAUUUGCUGAGUACACCAACAGAAAUAACGCUGCAUGCUAUGUUUUGGAUGACUACUAUUAUUGAGAUUGUGUACGGGUUUAGAGCAUUAAAACAAGCUUCUUCUCUAGCUAAAAGCAUUUACCUGUCCACAACUCAGAAUCAGUGAGUUAGUAGAGUAGUAAAAAUAUAAGGUAAUAUUGUAGUAAUAUUAUGGUAGAAUGCAGCAUAAUUUAUAUAGUAUCAGACUGUAAUUAGUAUGAGCACUAAUCAUGGUAUGAUAAAUACAAAACAUUAAAUAAUAGCAUUGUCAAUGUGAAAAAGCAUUUUUUGUUAUGUCCUUUUUUUUAUCGAAAAUCAAAUUUCUUUUGCAAAGAGACUUAGGAUAUCUAUAUAUUUCAUAACUUUAGAUUUCUUAAUUUGAAACAAAGGUAAACGCAGUAUACAUUUUUCAUUUAUUAAAAUUAGAAAAUAAACCUUAAUGGGUUGAGUUUUUAAAACAAACAAAACAUAGGCAGCAACUUUGUUUUCCCUGUCAUUGCUGAUAUCCAUGAGUGAUAGAGGCUACUUAUGCCCAUCAGGUGGGUCAUGCCAUAUGCUUAAUAAAAAAAAAAAAAAAUUUUUUUUCCCUAAUAGCCUAAUUCAUGCUUUAGGGCACUGAUGGGUAUGAUAACUACUCUUGCAUGUACUCUUUUGAACAGAUAGAACAGCUGUUGUAUCAAUGCAAUGAAAAUUCAAUCUUCAAAGCACUCUCAUUUAAUAUGUGGUUGAUAUACUUACAAUAACCACUUAAAACCAGGAUGAAUGUGCGUUCAUGCUAAUUUUAACCAUGACAAAACAGAUCAGUCAUUAUGGCAUAAUGACCAAAGUUUUUUAAAUGAAACAUACUUUAAAUGAAAAGACUUUAUUGUCAUAAUACAUUUGAUGCUGGAACCAUAUCUUAAGAUAUUUAAUAAAAAUUGCUUUAUUUAGCAAAGCUUUGGCAUAAUAAACAUAAAUAUAAUUAUUUAACAUAGCUUGUUAUAUAAUAGUUAAUUACAAAAGUAAAUUAAGUUUUUUUUAAACAAUACUGUCAUAAAUUACAUUCAACUUUAAAAAAUAGCGUCAAGCACACAAAAAAUAUUAGUCAUAACUUUAAAAUAAUGAUUGCACUUUUUCUUAAGUAACUACUUCAAACAAAAUGGAAUACAGAAAACUUCUCCGUUCAUAUAAAAGUAAAUCAAUACUCUGACUCAUAUUUAUUAAAUUUAUUAUUGGUAUCAAAAUAUAUAAGAUUUCAUUAAAAUGGUUUUCAACAUUCAUAUUUAAAUAUUUGUAUUUGCCAUUAAACUCUUCAAGGCACUGGUUUUUUAUUUGUAGAAACACUGGGAAAACUUCAAGGGAAAAAUGAUAUAAUUUUGACACAGUUGAAUGGAUCUACAAAGUACAGUGUUUAAAUGUAAAGCGAUUUAAGUGCAAUGUGAUAUUGAAACUCGCCAAUUUUGUCUCGAAACUUUUGAUAUCACCAUCAACUCCAAAAGAUUUGAUCAUUUGUGCAAAAGUUGGUGACAUCUUGCAGAUGAACUGAAAUGGAAAUACAAAAAAUUUAAGUAUUAUUUUUAAACUGAUAAGUAUUGACUUUAAUUAGAAUUUUAUUUUUCAAAUGUUUUUCAAUUUACGCCUUGAAUGUGGUGUAAUUUAUUAUUAUAGUUUACUUAAAAAAAAAGUCAUUGCAGGAAGGUUGGCAAAUGUGAAAUAUUGAUAUUAUUUUGUACAGCUAUAGAUGGAUAAAAGGAUAGUUUACGAAAGGAAAUUAAUGAGGCAUAGUGAAAAAUAAAAUAUAAAUAUUAAGAAAAAGUGGCUUGCGCAUGGCGAUGCUUCGCCACAUUGUACACAGACACAGACUACUAUGUAUAGACUGAUGUAGGGAUGCUCGAUGGUCAUCGAUAUUAAAACAAAAAACAUCGUAACAUCGAUGUCACGGACAUCGAUAUCGAUAUCGAAAUUCUGUUGGCUGGUCAACCCUAUAUCAACAGCACAAUAGGUUGAUAGGUUCUGAACUUCAAGUUAUUAUUUUUAGUCAAUUAACAAAAAGUAUUGGAACUUAUAACAUGUACCUGUGCUCUGAUAUCUUUAAUUUAUUUUUCAUUUUGUUGAAUUAUAAAAACGUUGUGAUUUUAUGGUUGUUUUAUUAAUUGAUCAAUAUUUGCAAAAAAUAUUGAUAUCCUGCUAACAAUGUCAUUAUCGAUGCCAUAAUCGAUGUUUAUCCGACGUCGAACAUCCCUAGACUGAUAUAUAUUAUGUAUGUAUGUUUAUACAUGUAUAUAGUAUACAUGUAUAUUCAUUUAAGGCGAUGCAUUGCCACGCAAGCAAUCGGUUUUAUUCGUAUAGCCAUUUCACAUCGAAAUAAUAGACUUACUAUAAAUAAUUGUUGUGUGACCCAACUGUGAUACUUCUUUACAGAACCUUCAUAUGCUUUGGUGAAUACAUAUUUCAUAUUUAUCUCCUUUUUUGCCUGUAAAUUUUCUAGUAUAUCUACAAAUACUAAUUCAAAAAACAGCAGAGCUCUGAAACAAAACAUUUUGCAAUAAUAUAUAAUUAAUUUGUGUUUUUAUUUUAUCGUUAUAUGCAGAUAAAAAUAAAGCCCAUCUGAGGUAAGUAGUGGUCACUGUCUCUCAUAGACAUUAACAAUGCCAAGGAUUCAGCCAAGUUGCUGACUACUGCCCAGGACUUUCUACAAAUCUCGUUUGACGAAGGACAUGUCUAGGGGCUCAGGAAACACAAUGUAAGGGAGUUCAUUCCAGAGCUGGAUGGUUCCUGGCAAAAAAAGGUUCUCUGGAAACGCACUCUGGAUAAAUGCAGAAGUUCUAAAGAGUAAGAAGAGUUAGAAUUGAAAUAAGGGGUUCUAUUCAGAAACCACUGAACAGGAGUCAGAAGAUAGGUAACAGGGUUUUAUACUGGGUCAGAGAAUGACAAAGACAAUAAAGAGACAUAAGGAGGGAGCCUCAUCUGAGAGUAUCUGAGAUACUGGAAUUACUUGAGAACAAUUCUGAAAUAAAAUGGUUUUGCUUUCUUUAUGCCACUGAUGACAUCUUGAAAAGCAAUGACAUUCAAAUAAUUUGAAAUAAAAAAAAUAACUACAGUGCAAAAGCUGUGCCAAGGCGUUCUGUAAUUUAGAUAUAAUUUGAUUAGAUAUAAAUUAGAUAUAAAUUGGUCAACAAAAUAUAAUGUGGAAUUUAAUUUGGUUUUUAAGUUUUUAACCUGAAUAAGUGAUGGUUUGACUAUUUUAUGUAAAAUGAUAAUAAAACAUAGUUGUGAAUGGA
Bombyx mori (domestic silkworm) is the source of this 4782-nucleotide RNA transcript. It is a transcript of the gene named transmembrane protein 17, with no coding region annotated. The transcript has 7 exons. NCBI's taxonomy places the organism in Eukaryota, Metazoa, Arthropoda, Insecta, Lepidoptera, Bombycidae. The record is from RefSeq and is a predicted model, not a curated record.